Molecule: long non-coding RNA, 421 nt
Organism: Dermacentor silvarum
Lineage: Eukaryota; Metazoa; Arthropoda; Arachnida; Ixodida; Ixodidae
Exons: 3
Source: RefSeq, a predicted model, not a curated record
CGUGGACGCGAGUGAGCUAUCUAUGCUGCCAUGUCAAUAUAUCUUCUAUUUGCCCUGUGUUUGUUUUCAAACGUCCUAGCGCAGUGGAGCCCCAGGACUUGCCAAUCUAGCGGCUUUAAAUGCUGGCCCUUCGCUCUCUGCCCUCUACAGAACAUGGUGUUUGUGCAUGGCUGUAAGGGCCUUACAGUUUGCUGUGACCUAAGACCGACCAUUUCCUGCUCCUUGGAUGUAGGAUUUUGUCACAAAAGCUGCAAACAUACAAAUAUGCGCGCCACUUGCCCUGGACAACAGAAAUGCUGCCUCAACUUCCCCAAGUUGUGGCAAUCGUAACUCACAUCUUCGGUGCAGAAACCGAUUAAGACAUUACCUUUAACAUUUCGUUCACUAAAAGCCUCAAAUCCUAUAGUUGCGCAACAACAAG